This 492-nucleotide ribosomal RNA is filed under the name uncultured bacterium. RNAcentral describes it as "partial 16S ribosomal RNA". It matches the Rfam family "Bacterial small subunit ribosomal RNA", at positions 29 to 507 of the family's 1533-position model. The record is from RNAcentral.
AGUGAACGCUGGCGGUAGGCCUAACACAUGCAAGUCGAACGACAGCACAGUAAGAGCUUGCUCUUACGGGUGGCGAGUGGCGGACGGGUGAGGAAUACAUCGGAAUCUACUUUUUCGUGGGGGAUAACGUAGGGAAACUUACGCUAAUACCGCAUACGACCUACGGAUGAAAGCAGGGGAUCUUCGGACCUUGCGCGAUUGAAUGAGCCGAUGUCGGAUUAGCUAGUUGGCGGGGUAAAGGCCCACCAAGGCGACGAUCCGUAGCUGGUCUGAGAGGAUGAUCAGCCACACUGGAACUGAGACACGGUCCAGACUCCUACGGGAGGCAGCAGUGGGGAAUAUUGGACAAUGGGCGCAAGCCUGAUCCAGCCAUACCGCGUGGGUGAAGAAGGCCUUCGGGUUGUAAAGCCCUUUUGUUGGGAAAGAAAAGCAGCAGGUUAAUACCCCGCUGUUCUGACGGUACCCAAAGAAUAAGCACCGGCUAACUUCGUG